This is a non-coding RNA of Cicer arietinum (chickpea), 1631 nucleotides long. Lineage: Eukaryota; Viridiplantae; Streptophyta; Magnoliopsida; Fabales; Fabaceae. The record is from RefSeq and is a predicted model, not a curated record.
ACUACUGCCAACUAAACCCUUCUCAAAACUAAACCCAGAAUACGUUAAACUCUUUCUUCUCUUUCACCCAAAACCUCUCAAUCUCUAAAUCCCUAACCUCUCAAUCUUGAGCAUGUUAAACUCCUUCUCCUCUUUCACCCAAAACCUCUUAAUCUCGAGCCCCAAUCCGUUGCCUUCUCCUUCUCAUCGUCGAUUAAUCCCGAGCCCCAAUCUAUUGCCUUUUCGCCUUCGUUCAAUCUCGAGCUGUGACCACCGUUCUCGCCGUCACUGUGACCGUUCUCGCAUCACAUCCACUGUUCUCGUCGUCGCUGUGACCGUUAUUGCAUCACAUCCACGAUGACAGAGUGACCACCAGCGCCACCGUGACCUGACCCUGUGACCACCGCUCUCGCACCACCUGUAAAUUUUGAAUUUCUGUACUGUUUAUGAAUUUUCGCUCCACCUGAAGCUGUGACCUUAGUUAUAUGUAAUUUCUGUGUUGUUUUGAAUUUUUCGCGAGUUUGAUUGCGAGUUAGGGUUCAUUUUAGGGAUUAAUUUUGAAUUUUCGUGAGUUUGAUUGAGAGUUAGGGUUCAUACUAGAGUUUCUGAGAGUUCCUUUUUUAGCCUGUUAAUUUUUUAGGACUUGCAUUAAGUAAAGUAGAGGGUAAUACAAUUUAGUUACCCUUUUAGAAUGAAGAAUAUGUCAUGAGCAAACUUAAAGGAAACCUGUUUUUUCGUUGAUUUUUUUAGGAAAUGAAUUUUCAUGGAUGUUGCACUACUUUUGAAAUGUACUUGUAGAAUCAAACUUAUUAGUCGGUGGUGAUUAAAAAGUAAACCAUAUUAUGUGAACGUUAUUUUAUGGCUAAGAUGAAUAACUAAUUUCAUGCAUGGGACUUGUUUAAUUUCAUAUAUUUUGUUUGUUGGUCUAUUAGUUUUUCUCAAUAAAAUAGGAAGUUGAUGAGAAGAAAAAGAAACACAAACAAUGUCAAGCGAAGUCAAGUAUUAAUUUUGAGACAGUUCGACCCAUUGGUGAGGAAGGGACAACUCUUACCUGUUUCAUUGGUAGUGUGGCUAGAAGGCAUCAAUAUGCUCCUAUCGACUACAAAUCGUGGAAAGUUAUGCCAAACGAUUACAAAGAAGAAAUGUUGAAAUUAAUAGAGGAUGUGUCCUGUUAGAGGUUUUAUGAACAUGGAGGGGAGAUGCAGGUGGCACAAGAUUCCCCCCUAAAGCCAUCAAUGGAUUUAUUUGCUAUCUCGGGUUUUACUAUGCCAGAGUGCUUUCCAGGAGAUACUUAAGCAAAUGAUGAACAAGCAGUCUUCUGAUGAUGCAGGUGUUACUUCUGGAGAACUUUUGGAAGAGAUCGUUGCCAAAGAAAGCGCAAGUAUCAUGAAGAACUCACGAAGGAAAAGAGAGGACAUAGGCAAAGGCUUAGUUCAUGAUCAAUAUCAACUAAGGGAUGCAAAGGCUGGAAAAGUGAUGCAAAUGCUUAGAACUUGAUCAAUAUCAACUAAGGUGUUGUUUCUUUUGUUAUCUACUGAUUUGAAACGCUGGAAAAGUGAUAUUUUGUUGAUCAAAUAUUUUGUUUAGGAAGAUGAUUAUUGUUAUUUAUGAAAUUAGUUUGUAGUUUAUCACAAUAAAUGUUAAGAAACUCA